UACAGAGGGGGCAAGCGUUGUUCGGAAUUACUGGGCGUAAAGGGCGCGUAGGCGGCCCUCUAAGUCGAACGUGAAAUCCCUCGGCUCAACCGGGGAACUGCGUCCGAUACUGGUGGGCUCGAAUCCGGGAGAGGGAUGUGGAAUUCCGGGUGUAGCGGUGGAAUGCGUAGAGAUCCGGAGGAAGACCGGUGGCGAAGGCGGCCUGCUGGGCAGUUACUGACACUGAGUGCGCGACAGCGUGGGGAGCAAACAGG
RNAcentral lists this ribosomal RNA (254 nucleotides) under uncultured bacterium. RNAcentral's name for it is "partial 16S ribosomal RNA". It matches the Rfam family "Bacterial small subunit ribosomal RNA", at positions 524 to 776 of the family's 1533-position model. The record is from RNAcentral.